GUUAAAUUAAGGACUUUCCGUUUCACUAUUUCCUCGGGGUCGUUUUUUUGUUUGUUUUUUUUAAUUUUUAUUAGCACUUUCUUGAAUCUUUUGAUUAACUCAUUUAUUAGAUAAUUGUUUUCUUGCUAAAUUUUAAUAAUUUUAAUAUACAUUUUUGUCUCCUUUUUACCCCCUUUUCUCCUUUCUCCCGCCCCCUCUCUCCCUU
Molecule: long non-coding RNA, 205 nt
Filed under: Mytilus galloprovincialis (Mediterranean mussel)
Lineage: Eukaryota; Metazoa; Mollusca; Bivalvia; Mytilida; Mytilidae
Source: RNAcentral